RNAcentral lists this ribosomal RNA (848 nucleotides) under uncultured bacterium. Its description in RNAcentral is "bacterial SSU rRNA". It matches the Rfam family "Bacterial small subunit ribosomal RNA", at positions 8 to 863 of the family's 1533-position model. The record is from RNAcentral.
AGAGUUUGAUCCUGGCUCAGGACGAACGCUGGCGGCGUGCCUAACACAUGCAAGUCGAGCGGAGACAGUGAGUAGCUUGCUAUGAGCUGUUUUAGCGGCGGACGGGUGAGUAACGCGUGAGCAACCUUUCCCAGACAGGGGAAUAACACACCGAAAGGUGUACUAAUACCGCAUAAGACCACGGGAUCACAUGGUUCUGGGGUAAAAGAAUUAUCGGUUUGGGGUGGGCUCGCGUCCGAUUAGGUAGUUGGUGAGGUAACGGCCCACCAAGCCGACGAUCGGUAGCCGACCUGAGAGGGUGAUCGGCCACAUUGGGACUGAGACACGGCCCAAACUCCUACGGGAGGCAGCAGUGGGGAAUAUUGGGCAAUGGAGGAAACUCUGACCCAGCAACGCCGCGUGGAGGAAGAAGGUUUUCGGAUCGUAAACUCCUGUCCUUGGAGACGAGUAGAAGACGGUAUCCAAGGAGGAAGCCCCGGCUAACUACGUGCCAGCAGCCGCGGUAAUACGUAGGGGGCAAGCGUUGUCCGGAAUAAUUGGGCGUAAAGGGCGCGUAGGCGGCUCGGUAAGUCUGGAGUGAAAGUCCUGCUUUUAAGGUGGGAAUUGCUUUGGAUACUGUCGGGCUUGAGUGCAGGAGAGGUUAGUGGAAUUCCCAGUGUAGCGGUGAAAUGCGUAGAGAUUGGGAGGAACACCAGUGGCGAAGGCGACUAACUGGACUGUAACUGACGCUGAGGCGCGAAAGUGUGGGGAGCAAACAGGAUUAGAUACCCUGGUAGUCCACACUGUAAACGAUGAAUGCUAUGGUGAAGGGGGUCUCUACCCCUUCUGUGCCGCACCCAACACAAUAA